AAGCAAUCAAAUUACGCUUUUAUUCUGCAUUUCAGAUUAACAAAGUGAAGUAGGUCGCACUUCAUAGAAAACAAAUACAGACCAGGUAAAGCGACAUAUUUAACGACUUUCAAUCCUCAGUAUACAAAAUUUUGCAUGACCAUAUCAUUAUGGUAAUACCUUACAGUAUAGGAGAAGACAGGAGUCAAGACAUUAUUAACCAUCACAAAAUAAACAUAAAAGAAAUUCUCAAACAGGAUGAAAAAUAUGGUUUUAAAUUGUUGACAGUAAUAAGCUCUUAUUCAAUGGCCAUCUGCUCCACCCUAGAUAGUUCUUCCAGAGAGAAUACAAGUGACAUCCAACUAUUCAAAAACAAGAUUCCAAAGUUCACAAUUACAUCAAAACCUUCCCAAAAUGUGUCUCUAAGCUCUCUGCUCAACAUAAGAACCAGCAAGUCCAGAAGUGCCAAGAACAGUAACCUGCAACCAAAAGACUUGAAAUAUCAGAAAUUGAAUUAUCACCUUAGCACUCAUGAAUAGGAUAACUGUAAAUGAAGCAAUGAAAAGCUUGAGUUUGCAGCACAUCCUUCAGCCCAGGGUUCUCCUAAGUAGCUGGUCAAAUAUUUGGUCUCACAGGCACAAGCAAUUAUUAAUUUAUGAUCCCCUACAUGAUGCUUUUUGACCUAAACAGGCGACAGAUGUUGGUAAUGUAUUCUAUCUAAAAUGAAGUAGAAAACUCUGUCCUGUUUAAAACAGUGAAACAAAUUUUAGUACCUUCCCCCACUCUGAACCAAGCCCACUGCAUCUCAUCUUCAAGUAUAUCAUCUUUGAUCCCAACUCCAUCUCUACUUUCUUCCGCAAAUAACCCUCAUCAGGUCCAAAUGCAUCCAAAUAGGCAGAAUAUCGUUGAUAAACUGUACGAAGUGCAUUGACAAAAUCAUCUGAUAAGGGCUUUACAUCCUACACAAAAAUUACAACCGUCAAAUUAUAAGAAUCAUGGGGACAGAAAAAAAGAGAAACAGAUCAUGUAAUUCCAUUUAAAUUAUGAAACCUCGCCACUCAAUCCAAUGCUGUCAUCAAGUUCCAUUUUCAUAGAAAUGAGCAUGCCACCAAAUUCCUCAACGGCUUCAGCUGCACAGAAAACAUUCUUCAAAAUUUCUUGGCCAGCUUUAUCAUCAGUGUUUUUAGACAAGGCAUUCUUCACAUCAUGGAUGAGUGCAUCAGGAAGCUCGUCCCAACUUGCUGCCAUUAAGUCCUUCAAAACAUUUUGAAUUUCGGGAUCUUGUAUGACAGGCAUGUGAGUUACGCCCUCACUAAAAAACCGUCUGCCUCCAAUGCCCAUCGUAAAAGAAGAUCUGAAAUCAGAAACGAUGCGAUUGCAAGGGUUAGCAACGGAAGGCGAGGAGAGAGUGAAGAGGGAUCGAGAAGCCAAGUGGUGGGUAACAGCGGCGAAACAUGAAGACCUAAAACAGGCUGCGCGGCAUAUGGAUCUCAGUAACACCAUCUUCUCCAUUUCUUUUUCUGAUUUCCUCGAAGAAUAGCUGAAUAAAAAGCAGCGACUACUGACUUCUUAGAUUAGAAAGCUAAUAUAGUAAAAUGCAGUGAGGUUACUGCAAUUUGAGCAAAGAUUCAGUUGGCAAAUGUCAGAAAAUAAUAAUGAAGUGACUGCUGUGGUUUCAUUGUGCAUGUUUUUUU
This 1673-nucleotide unclassified non-coding RNA is filed under the name Hevea brasiliensis (rubber tree). Lineage: Eukaryota; Viridiplantae; Streptophyta; Magnoliopsida; Malpighiales; Euphorbiaceae. The record is from RNAcentral.